AUUGAACGCUGGCGGCAUGCCUAACACAUGCAAGUCGAACGGCAGCACAGUAAAGAUUUCGGUCUUUAUGGGUGGCGAGUGGCGGACGGGUGAGUAAUGCGUAGGAAUCUGUCCUGGAGGGUAGGAUAACCCGAGGAAACUCGGGCUAAUACUGCAUGAUAUCGAGAGAUCAAAGGCAGGGGACCCUUCGGGGCCUUGCGCUCUAGGAUGAGCCUACGUCGGAUUAGCUAGUUGGUGGGGUAAAGGCCUACCAAGGCGACGAUCCGUAGCUGGUCUGAGAGGAUGACCAGCCACCCUGGGACUGAGACACGGCCCAGACUCCUACGGGAGGCAGCAGUGGGGAAUCUUGGACAAUGGGGGAAACCCUGAUCCAGCGAUGCCGCGUGUGUGAAGAAGGCCUUCGGGUUGUAAAGCACUUUAGUUGGGGAAGAAAAGUAAUGAGUGAAUAACUGAUUGCUCUGACGGUACCCAAAGAAUAAGCACCGGCUAACUCUGUGCCAGCCGCCGCGGUAA
RNAcentral lists this ribosomal RNA (513 nucleotides) under uncultured bacterium. RNAcentral's name for it is "partial 16S ribosomal RNA". It matches the Rfam family "Bacterial small subunit ribosomal RNA", at positions 30 to 523 of the family's 1533-position model. The record is from RNAcentral.